This 253-nucleotide ribosomal RNA is filed under the name uncultured bacterium. RNAcentral's name for it is "partial 16S ribosomal RNA". It matches the Rfam family "Bacterial small subunit ribosomal RNA", at positions 524 to 776 of the family's 1533-position model. The record is from RNAcentral.
UACGGAGGGUGCAAGCGUUAUCCGGAUUCACUGGGUUUAAAGGGUGCGUAGGUGGGUCUGUAAGUCAGUGGUGAAAUCUCCGAGCUUAACUUGGAAACUGCCAUUGAUACUAUAGCUCUUGAAUAUUGUGGAGGUCAGCGGAAUAUGUCAUGUAGCGGUGAAAUGCUUAGAUAUGACAUAGAACACCAAUUGCGAAGGCAGCUGGCUACGCAUAUAUUGACACUGAGGCACGAAAGCGUGGGGAUCAAACAGG